This is a small nucleolar RNA of Dioscorea cayenensis subsp. rotundata (Guinea yam), 107 nucleotides long. The record is from RefSeq and is a predicted model, not a curated record. Lineage: Eukaryota; Viridiplantae; Streptophyta; Magnoliopsida; Dioscoreales; Dioscoreaceae.
AACCCAUGCUAAGGAUAGGUCCGCAGGAGAUCCUUGAAUCUAUCCCAUGUCUCAAAAAGAGACUCCAAUUACACUUGCACAAAAGAAUAUAUUUUAUUCCUGAGUAU